GGAAUCUUGGACAAUGGGGGCAACCCUGAUCCAGCCAUGCCGCGUGUGUGAAGAAGGCCUUCGGGUUGUAAAGCACUUUCAGUAGGGAGGAAGGCUUCGGGUUAAUACCCUGGAGUACUUGACGUUACCUACAGAAGACGCACCGGCUAAUUUCGUGCCAGCAGCCGCGGUAAUACGAAAGGUGCGAGCGUUAAUCGGAAUUACUGGGCGUAAAGCGCGCGUAGGCGGCUUGUUAAGUCGGAUGUGAAAGCCCCGGGCUCAACCUGGGAAUUGCAUCCGAUACUGGCUGGCUAGAAUGCAGUAGAGGGAGGUGGAAUUUCCGGUGUAGCGGUGAAAUGCGUAGAGAUCGGAAGGAACACCAGUGGCGAAGGCGGCCUCCUGGACUGACAUUGACGCUGAGGUGCGAAAGCGUGGGGAUCA
Molecule: ribosomal RNA, 420 nt
Filed under: uncultured bacterium
Lineage: Bacteria
Description: bacterial SSU rRNA
Rfam family: Bacterial small subunit ribosomal RNA
Source: RNAcentral